GCCCACAUAGUAUAGUGGUUAGUACUUCUCGUUGUGGCCGAGAUGACGCAGGUUCGAUUCCUGCUGUGGGCACCA
Molecule: transfer RNA, 75 nt
Filed under: Badhamia polycephala
Lineage: Eukaryota; Evosea; Eumycetozoa; Physariida; Physaraceae
Description: Physarum polycephalum tRNA-His
Rfam family: tRNA
About the family: Transfer RNA (tRNA) molecules are approximately 80 nucleotides in length. Their secondary structure includes four short double-helical elements and three loops (D, anti-codon, and T loops).
Source: RNAcentral